CAGUCGCCGCGGGAAUACGUAGGUGGCAAGCGUUGUCCGGAAUUAUUGGGCGUAAAGGGCUCGCAGGCGGUUUCUUAAGUCUGAUGUGAAAGCCCCCGGCUCAACCGGGGAGGGUCAUUGGAAACUGGGAAACUUGAGUACAGAAGAGGAGAGUGGAAUUCCACGUGUGGCGGUGAAAUGCGUAGAGAUGUGGAGGAACACCAGUGGCGAAGGCGACUCUCUGGUCUGUAACUGACGCUGAGGAGCGAAAGCGUGGGGAGCGAACAGGAUUAGAUACCCCCGUAGUCCCUGUCUCUUAUAC
This 301-nucleotide ribosomal RNA is filed under the name uncultured bacterium. RNAcentral describes it as "partial 16S ribosomal RNA". It matches the Rfam family "Bacterial small subunit ribosomal RNA", at positions 509 to 807 of the family's 1533-position model. The record is from RNAcentral.